RNAcentral lists this ribosomal RNA (254 nucleotides) under uncultured bacterium. RNAcentral describes it as "partial 16S ribosomal RNA". It matches the Rfam family "Bacterial small subunit ribosomal RNA", at positions 524 to 776 of the family's 1533-position model. The record is from RNAcentral.
UACAGAGGGUGCGAGCGUUGUUCGGAAUUACUGGGCGUAAAGCGCGCGCAGGCGGCUUUUUAAGUCCGUUGGUGAAAUGCCGGGGCUCAACCCCGUGCCCGCCAGGGAUACUGGAGAGCUGGAGACGAGUAGAGGCAAGCGGAAUUCCGGGUGUAGCGGUGGAAUGCGUAGAGAUCCGGAAGAACACCGGAGGCGAAGGCGGCUUGCUGGGCUCGGUCUGACGCUGAGGUGCGAAAGCGUGGGGAGCAAACAGG